CGGACUCACUCGCUAACUUGUCAAACAAUUUAACGAUCAAUCUUGAAGCUCGUCAGCUAGUUUAGCUGGCUGCGCUGACAGCAUGAGUUCGAAGAAGGGCAAAGCGGGGAAGACGCUGAAAACCAUUCAGCAUGAACUUGGGAAUGGACGUGCAAAGAAUACGAAAAUAGCACCGAAAACGCAGGCCCAGCCGUCAAUAUCUCCCCUUAACAUGUCCUCGAUUGAGAAAGCCAGC
Molecule: long non-coding RNA, 235 nt
Organism: Megalops cyprinoides (Indo-Pacific tarpon)
Lineage: Eukaryota; Metazoa; Chordata; Actinopteri; Elopiformes; Megalopidae
Exons: 3
Source: RefSeq, a predicted model, not a curated record